GAAAUUUGCAAAGUGAAAAAGGAAAAAUUAUUACACAUUUUCAAUAAUAGCUCAUCCAAUGACAUUUACAGAAUUUCGAAUCGAAAGUACAUACUUGAUACACAACUAAAAAUUGAAGAGAAAACUGGAGCAAAGGCCAAUCCGCCACCGGACCUCGAACAGAAACCUCAACGGACUAUCAACAACCUCGGCAAUGAUUUAAACCAGCUUCGAACCUCAGCUCACAUCCAUUUUUUCAAACCAAAUCCGAAAUCAAAGAUGAUAAACAACAUUUUUUGAGAAAACGACCACUUGAAGCCAAGUCUUCUUCAACUCAAAACAGAAACAUUUUCUGGUUUUUUAGAAGAAGAAAAUCGAAUCACAAAUUAUAGAAAACUAUUUUUUCGAACUCCUAGGAUUCUUCUCCCACACCCUCUGUUUUUCGGAUUUUUGGAAUGAAAGUCGUCCCAAAUUCUCAUUCUCGCUCCUUUUUUGUUUGUUUGUGUAUGUUUCUGAUGAAGAUAGUUGAAGGGUUACUGGAUUUUGCUCAAAACGAGAGAAAAUAUGAUGGGGUUGUUUUUGUGUGUGCUUCGAGUGGGGAAUCUGGUUUAUUUUUGUACUGCUCAUCUCUCUUGCUGAAGAGAAGGGGACACGGAAUUUCCGUAUCUCUAGCUCAGGGGAGGGUCAUGGGCGUUGGGUCGGGUAUUCAUAUUGGGCUGGGAGAAAAAUCAAUUAAUUUUGGCCCAAAUUUUAUCUCUUCAAUUCCCUUUCCUCUUUUUAUUUCAAAAUCUUUUUUAAUUAAUUUUUCAAAAUAAACUCAAAUAAAACCCAAACUAAAUCUUAAAUCAAAUCAAUCAUAGCACAUUAAAUUAAUUAACUCUAAUUAAAACCAAAUCGAAGGAAAAACUACCAAAAUUCAAAAAUUUAAAUUAAAAGUGAAAAUUAAACUAUUUUUUGCGACAUUUUUCCAUUUUUAUAAGACAACUAAUUUGUUAAUUAAUCCUAAAAUAUGAAAAUAAAUCCAAAUUUUUUUGUGAUUUUAAUGAAAGUAAAUAUGCAAAGAAAUUCAAACAAUUAACCAAAAUCCUAUAAAAUAUCAAAAAUUGGGAAAAUUAUUUUCUGAUAUUUUAUGGGAGUAAUUCAUAUAGGGGUAAAAAUCACAUGAUCACAGCUGCCCCUCUUUGCUCGAAAACACAAAGAGUUUUCGGGAAAAGAUAAAGUGAGCAGAUACGAGCGGUUGUUGCCCGCUUGAAUACUAUGUGGGAAGCAUUUUUGAAAUAUUUGCCCGAACCUUGCUUCAGGGGUUGCCUACAUAUCCUUGGCUAUAAAGGAAUCAGGUCAGUGUAGUUCAGAAGUGAGUGAGAUUAUGGAGUAUGCCGAGGUGGAGACCAGUCGAGCUGCCGUUCCGCCGAGGUUCCGGUCUACGGUCCUGUUAUUACAUCAAAAUCAAAAGAAAUGAAAAGACUAGCUAAGCCUAUCAGCUAUGAAUUACAAGAUUCAUAUCUAUAAGUGUUCUGAAGCUUGAUCUCGAGUCUUGAAUGGUUCUUCAUGCAGACUUUAGAUUUGAACCUUGGCACUUGUUAGCUGCAGGUGCUAGAUCGUUCUUCUUUAGCUUUAGGGAUCAAGACCAGAUAUGUAGUUCUUGUGACCUCGGCCAUGUCUUGAGCAACCCACAACUUUCAUCAGCUUCUACAUUUGGAUUAACUUCUUGUCUUUCUUUUUUCCUUUUUUUUAUUGUGACUAACUUAUGUUGAUCAUCUCGAACUGUUGACUCCCAUUCUUGCCGCGAGCUUCUUUUAUUGCUAACUUGAAUUAUGUUUUGAAGUGAAUUCUCUUAUUCCCUUGAAAUCUAUGCUAUCUCCUUUGAAACUUGAAUUGCUUUCCCUUGAUUCUCCAGGUGGGUUUCUGAUUAUCAACAUUUACACAGUUUUUCCCUUGAAACUUGAACUGUUUUCCCUUGUUCUCCAGGUAGGUUCCUGCAACCAAAAUAAACAAAAUUUUCUGCCCUAAUUCGCACUAGGAAGAUUUAGAGUUGUUAGCGGAAUUGUAAACCAAUUAUAAUACUGAUGCAAUGAUGAGAGUAAACCAAAAACUAGACUAGGAUGUGCGUCUCAUAUGAGUAAAACCAAAAAACUGACUAGCAAUUGCGUCUGCUAAAACAAAACCCGAAUGAAUCAAAACUAGGAAGUGCGUCUCCUAAAGAUGAAUUUAAAUGACCAAGACUAAUAAGUGCGUCUCCUAGGAGUAAAACCAAGAAACUUUGACUAGCAAAUGUGUCUGCUAAAAUAAAACUUGAUUGAACCAAAUUAGGAAGUGUGUCUCCUACAGGCAAAGCUUUUAUGAACCAAAACCAGGAAGUGCGUCUCCUAUAGGUGAAAACUUUUGUGACUAAAACCUAGGAAGUGCGUCUCCUAUGAAUAAACUCUCAAUUUAGGAAGUGCGUCUCCUAGAAGAAUAACUUGAAAGACCUUGAUUAGGAUGUGCAUGUCCUACACGUAAAACUUCAAUGAAUCAAAAUAGGAAGUGCGUCUCCUACGGUCGAACUUAAAUGACUCAAACUAGAAAGUGCAUCUCCUAGGGGUGAAACCUCAAUUUAAGAAGUGCGUCUCCUACAAUAAAAUAUAACUUGGAAAAGCCGGACUAGGAAGUGCGUCUCCUAGGGGUGGAACUUUCAUGAUUCAAACUAGGAAGUGCAUCUCCUACUAAUGAACUUCUCAAUUUAGGAAGUGUGUCUCCUAUGGGUAAGACUUCAAUGAAUCAGACUAGGAAACGCGUCUCCUAGGGACGAACUUAAAUGACUCAAACUAGGAAGUGCGUCUCCUACGAAUGAACUCUCAAUUUAGGAAGUGUGUCUCCUAUGGGUGAAACUUCAAUUACUCAAACUAGGAAAUGCAUCUCCUAUGAAUGAACUUUCAAUUUAGGAAGUGCAUCUCCUAUGAAUGAAAUAUCAAUUUAGGAAGUGCGUCUCCUACAGGUAAAACUUCGAUGAACCAGACUAGGAAGUGCAUCUCCUAUGGUUGAACUUGAAUGACCUAAACUAGGAAGUGCGUCUCCUAGGGGUGAAUUUAGAUUUAGGAAGUGUAUCUCUUAAAAAUAAAAAAUAACCUGAAAAACCCAGACCAGGAAGUGCGUCUCCUAGGGGUGGAACUUUCAUGAUUCAAACUAGGAAGUGCGUAUCCUAUGAGUGAACUAUCAAUGUAGGAAACGCGUCUUCUAAGGGUGAAAAGCAACUUAGGAAGUGCGUCUCCUAGAGUAAAAUACCAUUUGAAAGACUUAGACUAGGAAGUGCAUCUCCUAGGGGUAAAAUCUCAAUUUAGGAAGUGCGUCUCCUAAGCAAAAUAUAAUUUGGAAGACUUAGACUAGGAAGUAUGUCUCUUAGGAAUGAACUAUCAGUUUAGGAAGGGCGUAUCCUAUGAGUAAAAAUCAAUGACUUAAACUAGGAAGUGCGUCUUCUAGAGCAAAAUAUAACUUGAAAGACUUAGACUAGGAAGUGCGUCUCCUAGGGGUAAAAUCUCAAUUUAGGAAGUGCGUCUACUAAGCAAAAUAUAAUUUGGAAGACUUAGACUAGGAAGUGCGUCUCCUAGGAAUGAACUAUCAAUUUAUGAAGUGCGUCUCCUAUGGGUGAAAUCAACUUAGGAAAUGCGUCUCCUAGAGUAAAAUAUAACGUGAAAGACUUAGACUAGGAAGUGCAUCUCCUAGGGGUAAAACAAUCAAUGACUCAAACUCAUAUGAUCCAAACUAUGAGGUGCAUCUCCUAAGGGUAAAAUCUCAAUUUAGGAAGUGCGUCUCCUACAACAAAAAUAUAACUUGAAAACCCAGACUAGGAAAUGCUUCUCCUAGUGGUGAUGUGUGAUUUUCUCAAUAACUUUUGGGUAAUCAUAAUUGGGGCAUUACACCUGAGAAUUUCAACCUUCCAAGCUUUGAUAUGGACAUAGCUUCCAUCCCUGUUUCAGACAAAGAAAACUUGUGAGUUUAAAAAUGGUGGUUGAUUUGUGGCCUUGACUUUGUGGCGGGGCAUUACUGUGACAACCCGACCCGUCGUCUCAUGAGUUACUACCCCGUUCUUCCCAUUUUCUUCUUCCUUAUAUUUCAUUAUCGGUAAUGGGUGCGUUAGAUUUAAUAGGAGUGAUUUUAUUAAGAAAUGAGACACUUAAUCUCUUUUAAGAAGGCUUAAGUUGGAAAAGUCAACCAGAUGUUGACUUGUGAGUUAGAGGUCUCGGAAUUUAAUUUCGAUGAUUCGAUUAGUUUGAUGGGAUGAUUUAUGACUUAGGAGAGCAAUCGAAAGCAAUUUUGGAGGUCCGGUGAAGAAGUUAGCAUGUUUUGGCGAAGUUAGUAUUUUUGGCGAUUUUCGGUUGAUAGGUAAAAUUUUCAUCCGAUGGUCAAAAUAGAAUUCCGAGAAUAUUUGUAGCUUCAUUAUUUAAUUUUGGAUUUGUGUGUAAAAUUUGAAGUCAAUCGGACGUGAUUUGAUAGGUUUUGGCAUCGGAAAUAGAAGUUGAAAAUUCUAAAGUUCAUAAAACUUGGAUUGGAGGUUGACUCAUGAUUUUAGCAUUGUUUUAUGUAGCUUGAGGCCUUGAGCAAGUCUGUAUUGUAUUUUGGGAUUGGUUGGUGUUAUUGGUCGGGGUCCGGGGGGCCUUAGGUGUGUUUCGGAUGCUAAACGGGUCAUUUUCGAAAGAUUUUUUUAAACCUGUAAUGAUCCAAAGGUUCAUUUUUAGUUCCAGAGAUUGUAAUCUGAUUUUGAGACUUCCAAAAUUUAAAUCAUGAAUUAUAGGACUGAUUUGGAAAUUUUAUUUUAAUUUCAUCAAGUCGCGAAUGGGUUUUUGACGCGAAAUGUGAGUUAAUUUUUAACGAGAAAAAUGGGUGUUGAACUGGGCAAAUGAGCUCCGAAUUCAGUUUCAAUUGAAGGUUUGUGUUCGUAUUAUUAUUUGUGACUCAUAGGAACAAGAAUCGUUUAAUUCUGAAUUUGUAUGACAGGUUUAGAGCCAUUUUAGUGAAACAAAAGCUGCAGCAAUUUUCUAGGCAAUUUCUGCAUUUUUUUCGUACGUGUGAAUAGUAUCCUUGUACAGUACCCGUAUACAGUAUACAUGAACAACACCCGUGAACAGUAACAUGAAUAGUACCCCAUGAACAGUGCCCGGGAAUAGUGACGGACAGAAUGUUAAGUUUUGGAAAUAGGAGUUCGAACCCAUUUUCCAUAUUUGCUAUUUGGAGCUCGGAUUUGGCUAUUUUUUUGAGAGAUUUUCAAGGAAAACAUCGGAGGUAAGAGUUCUUAACUCAAUUUUGGUUGUAUAACUCGAAUCUCUUGCAAGUUUUGGUGUUUAAUUUGAGAAUUUUUGUUGAAAAGGGUAGAAAAACCUCUUGGAUAGAUAUGGUAAUUUGAGUGGUCAAAUGAACUCCAAUUUUUUUGAAUUUGGUAUAUAUAGACUCGUGGCGAGAUAAGGAUUGUAUUGAUGUAAAAAUUUUUGGAUUUCGAGAUGUGGGCCUGGGGCUCAGGUUUUGCAAAUUUCGUGAUUUUUGGUAAUUUUCGAGUCUUUUCGAUUGGGUUAUAUUCCCUUAGCAUGUUGUGACGUAUUUGCUCUGAAUAUGGAUAGAUUCAUCACGCCUGAAGGUCGAUUUUAGGAGCAAGGGCGUUUAGGGCUCGAGUUUCGACGGUUCGAGGUGAGUAGUGAUUUUAUAUGAUGCACUGAGGGUUUUAAACCCCGAAUUGCACAACAUACUGCUAUGUUGAGAUGAGAUACGCAUUGUAUGAUGAGCGCGGGGUCAUUUAAUAUUUGGGAUUGUGACUUGGUCCAUCCCAGUUGAUAUUUUACCGCGUAUUUGAUAAAGAUUUAUUGUUUUUCACCAUGAUUUGGGCUUAUUGCCAUACUUGGGCGGCUUAUUGCCAUACUUGGUCUUCGUGCCAAUUAUUUGAAAUCUUUUAUGAAAUUCCAUCACUAUUUUCCUCACUAAUUGAAAUAUUAUCUGAGCUUAGUCCGAUUGAAUUAUACUAUUUCAUGAACUCAACUACAAUUAUACUCAUCUCGAGAUUUAAAUGAUAUUUAUAAUGUUGUUUGAGCUGAGCAUCAUUAUUUACUGACGCCCAAGGGGCUUAUGGUUAUUUUCUGGACUGAUUGAGGCUGAGGGCCAUCUGUGAGGAUAUGUUGAGUGAUGUGAGGAGGCUUUCAGGCCUCAAGUGUUAUGUGAGGAGGCUUGAUUAUGAUAUGUUGAGUGAUGUGAAGAGUCUUUCAGGCCUCGAGUGUUAUGUGAAGAGGCUUUCAGGCCUUGAGUGUUAUGUGAGGAGGCUUUCAGGCCUCGUGUGUGAUGUGUGGAGGCUUUCCUAUGGAUAUUGCGCUUGGGAUGUAGGAGCCUCUCUGGAGUCUGUACACACCCCCAGUGAGCACAGGGUACCCAGGUGAGUUGGGAGUGGGCCCGAGAGGCCGUUGUUUGUGUGUGGUGAGUUGGGAGUGAGCCCGAUGGGCUAAUGUUGUGUGUUGGUGAGUUUGGAGUGAUCCCGUGGGGUUGAUACUAUACUGAAAUUUACAUACUAAGUCCGAGGGGCAAGCUUUGAUUAAUACCUACUGUAGAAAUUGUUGUUUUCACUGUUUUUAAAAGGAGAAUUAUCUGAUACUCACUUUUUUACUGUAUAACUGAUUUUACUGCUUGAGAUAAAGCUAUAUUUAGACUUUAUGGGAUUCUAUGCUUUCAGUCGUUAUUUAUUUUUAUUACUCACUGGGUCGGAGUACUCAAAUUACUCCCUACACCGUGUGUGCAGAUUCAGGCAUAACAGAUUUUCAUACUUGAGAGCUCACCUUUCCAGUCCAGGUGGUGUUCCGAGGCUACGAGGUAGCUGUUGGCGUCCGCAGCCCCCGUGACUCCUUUAUCUUAUAAUUCCUAUGUUAUUCGAAUUAUUGUACCAGAAUUCGUAUUUAGUAGACUUGUAUUUGGAUUUCUUAGUUGCUCAUGACUUGUGACGCCGCGGUUAGGGCCAUGUUGGGUUGGAUUUUCUGCUAUUUGGUGUUAUUAAAAACAUAUUAUACAAUGCCUUUGUUAAAUAAUUGUUUUAAAAGGAUUAAUUGGGUUGACUGGCUGGCCUUGUCUUCACGAGAGGUGCCAUCACGACCAGGUUCGGGUUUUGGGCCGUGACAAAUUGGUAUCAGAGCCUAGGUUACUAGGUCUCACGAGUCAUGAGCAUGUUUAGUAGAGUCUCACGGAUCGGUACGGAGACGUCUGUUAUCCUUGGGAGGCAACAGAACCUUUAGAAAAACUUCACUUUCUUGGAAUUCUUAUUGUGUGUACUUGAUUCAGUUUGAGAUAUACCCCUUGAAAUUCCUUCCACACAUCAGUAUGCGCACGUGAGCGCUUAGUAGUAUAUGUGCCUUGAUGGCUUGUGCUUCCCCGAUCGAAGGGGGAGAGAUGUAAUAUUCGUGAGUUUGAUGUUGGGCAGUCUGGAGGACUUGAGGCCAAAUCUUUGCUUAUGGCUUGAGCACCAAGGUGUUGAUUUAGUGAGCUGGAUUUAUGAACUUAUAUGUUCAGUAUUGUCCCUAAUUGUGGGAAUAGCGGCUGAAUAGCUACGCAAUGAGUAUGUGGUACUAUGUAAUGUGUAUGACAAUGGAAGGUAUACAAAAACAUGAACCAAAGGUAAAACUAAUGGGUAAUUGGCUUAUAAGUGAAAUCUAUUUUUCAUAAUAGUUAGAUAAGUCUGGGAGCUGGGAUCGCUUCUGUAAAUGUAUUAUGACAAAAUCGUUGAGUCAAGGAGACCACCUUGAAGGUCGAAAACAUUUAAAGGAAGAAUAUGUUCUUACUCGGUUGAAUAUACCAAUAAUGGGGGAUUGAAAGGUAUUUUCCAUGUGUUCUGAUUCAAAUAGGUGCAACGCAUGUCCAUAUAUCAAUUCUGAUAGUAUAAUACAUGUUGUAUUGAAAUUUAUGUAAUUGAUAUGCAUUAUGAUACCUUGUCAAGUUGUGGAUGUGUUGUUAGGAUGGUUUUGGUGAUUCUCUGGUAGGUGGAUAGGCCCAAUUACAAAGGAAACUCUGCCAAAUAUUUUGAAAAUUUUGGGACGUAGUAAAAAUUGUUGCCUAAAGAGUGGGUUUAAUUGUUGUGUGAGUGAAUGCAAAAAUUGCAAAAGAGUUAAAAUUUCUGAUGAUUCGUGUUUCCACGAGCUUAUGAUGGAGGGAGUUUAAUCUCACCAUGAAAUUACGACAUCAAUAGAGUAUAAAUGCGUUUUGAUCUAUGACUUUGAGCCAAGUUGGGGAGUUGGUUAUUAAAUAGGGCGAUUGCACGAUAAUAUGCUAUAUUGGUUCAAGUUUGAUGCAUGCUGGUGAAUAAGUUCUGGUUAUGGAAAUUGGGUCGAGAAUGGAACGAAUGAAGGAAAACUUUUGACAAGAUGUCAUGAGCUCGGAUGAGCAGGAGAUGAGUUUCGAUGUUUACGGUAAGUUGGAAUUAUAUUCAGCGUCACCUAAGUUCGAUGUUUUGUAAAAAGGGUUUUGCGUCCUGGUUAAGAUUCUUGAUCGCUCUUCAGCAUUAGUAAGAUCGGUGAUUUGGAGGUACGCUCCAGAUAUUGUUGUGGUAAGUUGUGGGAGUGUAUCCCACGAGAAGAUUAUAUAAAUGUGGCAUGUGAUCACUUGAUUGAUUAAGGAUGUAAACCAAGUAUGAAGUUUUUGAUGGUGUAGUUAAAUUAAAGAUUCAUGCCUGGAGGGCACUUGGCAUAUUGGGUUAUGAACUGGGGAGGAUUACUCCGAUUGUGAUGGUUAUUCUUGUGUGCUAUGAGAAAAAUAGGAGUCAUUAUGGACCUUUGAAAGGUUAUCAGACAAGUUCAAUGUGAUCAGAACCGGCUUGAAGUGAAUGAUUGUUCUUCUUUUUUAUGAAGAAAAUGGAAGUUAUUAUGGACCUUUGAAAGAUUAUUAUAUUAGUUCAGUGUGAUCAGAAUCGGCUUGAAGUCGGUGCAUAGAUUUAAUGUGAAUAAUGACUCUAUAUCAGGCUAGAUGUGUGCAUUUUUGUAACGGGGUCCUCGUGGAUGAGUAGUUAGGUUGAUGUUUCUUUGUCAAAUAUUUCGCGUAGUGAUGCAUCGCAGUGUGUGAGCUGUGAGACGACUUAAGAAAUUUCUAUAUGGUGAGAAUCCACGCAGGAAUGAUGUUACCUGAGCAAGUUGGCUCUUGAAAUUCAGAUUGUAUAUCGCACCUCAGUUGUGCUCGAGUUUUGUAGUUUAUAAUGCUAAAUAUCCCUCAUGGAUGAUAUUAUGCACUUAGUAUGCUUAUGACCGAUAUUCGGUAUUUGGUUAUUAUGAGCAGCUUUGGCUCGAUGUGUAUCUCCUUAUGAAAGAUCUAUGUGUGGAUCGGGUGGCACGCCGCCAUGGGCAUGUUAUCUGGAUCGGGUUGCACCCUGCAACAGUGUGAAAUCUGGUAUAGUUUUCUAUAUGUUAUCUUUGUAUGCCAUGCUUCCUGUUUUCUUAGGAAGAUUCGUAUUAGUGUGUAGGAUUGGUAAUUCCUUCUAGAGAUCAGUAAAUUCGAGAUCCGUGCAAUCUGAGUAUAUGAAGUAAAUUAAGGUGCCAAGAUCAUUGUUUGAUUCAGAAUGAGGUGAUAGAUUUCUAGACAUAUAGACACAAUGAAUUGUUGAUUCGGCGGUGUUAUGAGUUUAUACAGAUCUUAUCUGUCGUGUCGGUAUUGUAAAAAUUUGAACAAGACCUAUGUAUGUCAUGCAGAGCAUGAAAUGUUUAAUGAUUUUUCUUCUAGAUGGGAUAAAGGGAAGUUCUUGACUAGUUGAGUACAUAAAAGUUCAUGUUUCGGAAAGGAGAAGAAGUCAUCAUGUUACCUUAGGAUGAUAUGGUAUAUGCGAUAUGUUGUGAAGGAUUGAGAAUUGCGUGUGUAAGGUUAUGGUUCAGUUCUGAAUGAAAAUUCAUAUCAUUCUUAGGCAGUACGGGCAACUUUGGGUGAUUAGAGAAAUGAGCUUCAGAUGAUUAAGGAAAUUUUGUUUCUAAUCAUGGAGAUUUGUAAAGGUUACAUGUUUCAGAAAAAGGCCAAUGUGAUUAAGUUGAUGGCACUUCAAUAGUAUUGGGGNNNNNNNNNNNNNNNNNNNNNNNNNNNNNNNNNNNNNNNNNUUGAUGGCACUUCAAUAGUAUUGGGGUCAGGUAUGAUGAUGCGUGUGCUAUAUGGAGUUGGAGACUGGGAGUUCUCAUGUACAUGCUAUAUUGUGGUUCUGGAUCGUGUGCGUCGGUAUUGUUUAACGACUAUCAAGAUUUAAAGGCUCGAGUGGAUCUUUACUUACUGGUAUGUGAUUUUGUAUGCGAUAUCAGAAUUUAGACUGGUUGUCUUAGCGUCAGGCAAUUCUGAACUAUUAUGCCAUGGGCUAUGCCGGAAAUGCAACGGGCUGAGUGGCGAGGUAAGUUGGAUUAUGUUCUAUCAAGUUUGCGUGGCAUGUGUUAUUUUUUUCACCGUAGGAGUAAUGAUUUGCUCUGGCUCCAGCCAUCAAUUGAGCAUGGUUUUCGAUUUCAAGCGUAGUGACUUGAGGUGUUGCAUGUGAAGUAGUAUUUGGAUAAGAUCGCGCGUUGCAGCAAAGCCGUGUGGAAACAUGACCUUGCACGUAACAUUUGUGUGUCCUAUUUCUACUAUAUGAGACAGAGUCUUAGCCUUAUGUUGUGGCAGUACUAAUGAAUUUGAGGUACAACUCUCUUAGUUGAGUCAUUUUCAUGAUUUGAGUAUGUUCGAACCAUUUCUUAUUGGUGCGCUUAUUAUACAAGUUGUGGCUUAGGCCUGUAUUGCAGCUAUUAUAUCAUUAGAGUGGUGUGUUGGAUUCGAGGUGAUCGUUGGGGUCAUUGAUGAGUACAAACCGAUUUGAUUUCAGCAUGUUUGAUAGGUAAUUAUCGAGGUUCGGUUCGAAAAUUUGUUAUGAAAAUUUCCAGAGGAGAAAAUGGCCUCAUGAAUACUGAGCAAUGAUUAUGGUUUAUUACGUGUUUCAAUUAUUAUUGGUAGUAUAUGAGAGUGUUGGAAUGAGACGUUGGCUAAUAAGAGAUUUCUAUCGGUAUUUGGUUGUUGUGGGCAGCUGUUGUGAAUGGAAGUUAUCGCUGCAUUGGUUUGAGUUAUUGGUAUAUCAUAUAAUUGCACCUAAGGUUGCAGGCAUGGUCUAUUACUGCUGGUUCAGACUUAUUCUGAAUACAGGCAUGAGGUUCUGAUCUUGUGUAUGAUUCUAAAAAGGUGAAAUGUGGCUCUAUGAUUUAUGAGCUAGACCAGAUUGUGUGAUUUUAGUUAAAACGCGUUAUCGGACCCAUGUGAGAUAAGGUGAUGUGGGUUCAUCCCCGGAUUUAUACAUGGUGAGUUAUUUAGCAAUUGUUGGGAUUUUGGAACAACUCUGGGUACGUUAGAGGACAAACGUUUGUUUAAGUUGGGGAGAAUGUGACGACCCGACCCGUCGUCUCAUGAGUUACUACCCCGUUCUUCCCAUUUUCCGCUUCCUUAUGUUUCAUUAUCGGUAUUGGGUGCGUUUGAAUUUAAUUGGAGUGAUUUUAUUAAGAAAUGUGACACUUAAUCUCUUUUAAGAAGGCUUAAGUUGGAACAGUCAACCGGAUGUUGACUUAUGAGUUAGAGGGCUCGGAAUUGAAUUCCGAUGAUUCGGUUAGUUUCAGGGGAUAAUUUAAGACUUGGGAAAGCAAUCAAAAGCAAUUUUAGAGGUCCGGUGAAGAAGUUAGCCUAUUUUGGCAAAGUUAGUAUUUUUGGAGAUUUCUGGUUGAUAGGUGAAAUUUGAUCCGACGGUCGAAAUAGAAUUCCGAGAAUUUCUGUAGCUUCCUUAUGUCAUUUUGGAUUUGUGUGCAAAAUUUGAAGUCAACCAGACAUGAUUUGAUAGGUUUCAGAAUCGAAAAUUGAAGUUGAAAAUUCUAAAGUUCAUAAAACUUGCAUUGGAGGUUGAUUCAUGAUUUUAGCGUUGUUUGAUGUAACUUGAGGCCUCGAGCAAGUCCGUAAUGUAUUUUGGGACUGGUUGGUGUUAUUGGUUGGGGUACCGGGGGCCUCGGGUGUGUUUCAGAUGCCCAAGGGUCAUUUUUGAAAGAUUUUAUUAUUUUGAGCAUAAACCUGUAAUGAUCUAAAGGUCCAUUUUGUGUUCCAGAGAUUGAAAUCUGAUUUCGAGACUUCCAAAAUUUAAAUCAUCAAUUAUAGGACUGAUCUGGAAAUUUUUGUUUAAUUUCAUCAAGUCAUGAUUGGGUUUUUGACGCGAAAUGUGAGUUAAUUUUUUAACGAGCGAAAUGAGUAUUUAACUGGGAAAAGCAGAUCCGAAUCCAGUUUCGAUUGAAGGUUUUUGUUCGUAUUAUUAUUUUUGACUCAUAGGAACAAGAAUCGUUCAAUUUCGAGUUCGUAUGACGGAUUUAUAGCCAUUUUAGUGAAACAAAAGCUACUGCAAUUUUCUGGGCAAUUUCUAUAUUUUUUCGUACAUGUGAACAAUAUCCUUGUACAGUACCCGUAUUUGGUAUACAUGAACUGUCCCCAUGAAUAGUACGUGAAUAGUACCCUGUGAACAGUGCCCGUGAACAGUGACGGACAAAAUGUUAAGUUUUGGAAAUGGGAGUUCGAACCCAUUUUCCAUAUUUGCUAUUUGGAGCUCGGAGUUGGCUAUUUUUUGGAGAUAUUUUCAAGGAAAACAUUGGAGUAAGAGUUCUUAACUCAAUUUUGGUUGUAUAACUCUAAUCUAUUGCAUGGUUUGGUGUUUAAUUUGAGAAUUUUUUUUGAAAAAGGGUAGAAAACCCUCUUGGAUAGAAAUGGUAAUUUGAGGGGUCAAAUGAACUCCGAUUUCUGUGAGUUUGGUAUAUAUAGACUCGCGGCGAGAUAAGGAUCGUAUUGAUGUAAAAAUUUCUGGAUUUUGAGAUGUGGGCUCGGGGCUAGGGUUUUGCAAAUUUCGUAAUUUUCGAUAUUUUUCGAGUCUUUUCGAUUGGGUUAUUUUUCCUUAGCAUAUCGUGAUGUAUUAUCUGUGAAUUUGGAUAGAUUCGAUGCGGGUGAAGGUCGAUUUGAGGAGAAAGGGCAUCGCGGGCUAAAGACUUCUUUGGUUCGAGGUACGUAAUGAUUUUAAAUGAUGCACUGAGGGUUUGAAACCCCGAAUUGCACAACAUACUGCUAUGUUGAGAUGAGACACGCAUUGUAUGACGAGCGCGAGGUCAUCUAAUAUUGGGGAUUGUGACUUGGUCCAUCCCAGUUGAUAUUUUACCGCGUAUUUAUUGUUUUUCACCAUGAUUUGGGCUUAUUGCCAUACUUGGGCGGCUUAUUUCCAUACUUGGGCUUCGUGCCAAAUAUUUGAAAUGUUUUAUGAAAUUCCAUCACUAUUUUCCUCACUAAUUGAAAUAUUAUCUGAACUCAGUCCGACCGAAUUAUACUAUUUCAUGAACUCAGCUACAAUUAUACUCAACUCGAGAUUUAAGUGAUAUUUAUAAUGUUAUUUGAUGGCAUCAUUAUUUUACUGACGCCGAAGGGGCUUAUGAUUAUUUUCUGUACUGAUUGAGGCUGAGGGACAUCUGUGAGGAUAUGUUGAGUGAUGUGAGGAGGCUUUCAGGCCUCGAGUUUAUAUGAUGAGACUUUCAGGCCUUGAGUGUGUUAUGUGAGGAGGCUUUCAGGCCUCGAGUGUGUUAUGUGAGGAGGCUUUCAGGCCUCAAGUGUGUUUUGCGCUUGGGUUGUAGGAGCCCCUCCGGAGUCUGUACACACCCCCAAUGAGAGCAGGGUACCCAGGUGAGUUGGGAGUGGGCCCGAGAGGCUGUUGUUUGUGUGUGGUGAGUUGGGAGUGAGCCCAUGGGGAUGAUACUAUACUGUUAAUUUGAUAUUGAGCCUGAGGGGCUAGCUUUUGAUCAUUUCUUACUGUUGAAAUAAAUGGUCACUAUUGUUUUAAAAAAAAGAGAAUUGUCUAAUAUCCACUGUUAUAAUAUAUAACUGGUUUUACUUCUUGAGAUAAUGUUGUGUGUUGGUGAGUUGGGAGUAUCCCGUGGGGGUGAUACUAUACUGAGAUUUACAUAUUGAGCCCGAGGGGCAAGCUUUGAUUAAUCCCUACUAUGGAAAUUGUUGUUUUCAUUGUUUUUAAAAGGAGAAUUAUUUGAUACUCACUGUUUCGCGAUAUAAGUGAUUUUACUGCUUGAGAUAGAGCUAUAUUUGUGCCUUUAUAGGAUUUCAUGCUUUCAGUCGUUAUUUAUUUUUAUUACUCACUGGGCCAGAGUUCUUACAUUACCCCCUGCACCGUGUGUGCAGAUUCAGGCAUAGCAGAUUUUCAUACUUGAGAGCUGACCUUUCCAGUCCAGGUGGUGUCCGGAGACUACGAGGUAGUUGUUGGCGUCUGCUGCCCCUGUGACUACUUUAUCUUAUAAUUUCGAUGUUAUUCGAAUUAUUGUAUUAGAUUUCGUAUUUAGUGGACUUGUGUUAGGAUUUCUUAGUUGCUCAUAACUUGUGACGCCCCGGUUAGGGCCAUGUUUGAUUGGAUUUUUCGCUAUUUGGUGUUAUUAAAAAUAUAUAGUACUAUACCUUUGUUAAAUAAUUGUUUUAUAAGGAUUAAUUGGGUUGACUGGCUGGCAUUGUCUUCAUGAGAGGCGCCAUCAUGACAGUUCGGGUUUUGGGUCAUGACAAUUACACCUGAACAUUUCAACCUUCCAAGCUUUGAUAUAGACAUAGCUUCCAUCCCUAUUUCAGACAAAGAAAACUUGUGAGUUUAAACAUGGUGGUUGUUUUGUGGCCUUGACUUUGCGACGGUUGCUCCUUCACUUGCCAUGAUAAUUUUGAUUUCACCUUGAAAGACGUUGAUUGUUCCUUGACUAACCUCUUUCUCUGUCACCCUUAUCACAAAAAUACCUCUUCUUCGUUCAAACUCAAUAUCCUCCAUCUGUUGCAUUGCUCAUGAACUGAUAUCUGCAAAACCCUUGUGUUCCACAUGAUCCCCAAAGCAUAUUGAUUCGUUCACCCUAACCCUCCAUCUAUUGCAUUGUUCACAAAUUGAUAUAUAUCAAACCUUUGCACUAUACACAAAUCCCAAAGCAUGUUAUUUGUCACCAACUUAGUGCGCUUGUCACUCUUUCUUGACUUAUGACACUUUGAUGUACUAGCCAGAUAUUGUCUUGUGUAAUUAGGAAGUUUGUGGCAAAUUUUGAAGUCAUUUUUCACUUGUUUUGACCAAACAGACUCCGGAAGAGGAAGUAACCAAUACAAAAGGAAUAAAGUAUAGGACAAUAGAAAGAGAUGAUUCCUAACAAGAAAAACUACAAAGUUUAAACCUAUCGGAUGUGGACACCGACUCUACUGACCUUGACAUGCACCUGUGGCCUAUUCUGUUAAGCAUAUAUGAUGUUCAGGUCUUGUUGUACCAUUUAGUUGUGAAACUGGGCUUCAAUGCUCCGCUUAUCCAAUUUGAUUCGUAACCCUUAUUUGACUUGUAGUGCCCGAAGGGUUUUCACCAUCAAGCCUCUCUCAGUUUGUUCUUUCUCUUAACUUACCAUCGCCUCAAGGUGCCUGUGAUGAUUUUCACCAAUAAGACUCUCUCAGUUUUUAUUUCUCUCAACUUUCAUCACCUUGCGGUACCCGUGAAGGUUUUCAUCCCCUGGCUCGCUCAUUUUCAUUUUCCUUGUUUGCAUCAGAGUGUUUUGUUUGGAUCGGAGUGUUGCCCCUGACAUGAAUCACCUUUACCUGCUUUACCUGGCAUUUCUCGGAGACUGAUCAAAAGGUCUUUCUUUGGACCAUAAUGUGAAUUUUGGACAGGGUUAGAAAAGAAGGGUAUAAAAGGCUCAAAAACAAUUUCAAAAUGGGUUUAAAUUACAACUUUCGGAAUCCAAUUUCUCAAAAAAUCCACAACUUCUGCCCCAGUUUCUUGCUUGGGGAUUUUUGGACUUUUAUUUUGGUAUGAGUGAACCUCAGCGAGGCUGCCUAUGUACCCUUUCAGGAUCAAAUCAAACGUGGUUCACGUCAUAGGAAUUAAUUUGUUGUUGUGAUUUUUCUUUUCUUUUCUUUCUUCUUUCUUACUUUUUCUCUUUCAUUUUUCCUUUAUUUGUCUUUUCUUUCCUCUUUUUUUCUUUUAUUUUCUUUUUCCUUUUCUUUUCUUCUUCUUUUCUCUUCUUCUUCUUCUUUUCUUUUUAUGUACUCAUUUUCGGCACUUGCGUUAUUAGUUGUGCCAUUGAUUCUGAAAGAGGGGUGUGAAAGAAAGUAAACAAGGCUCAAAAGGGAUGACAAGGGAUAAAGUGUUUAGAUAGCAGAACAAAAUGCCUUCGUCAUUCCAAUCUCCAAAACAUGCCAAGUGCAAAUUGCACAACUAAACAACCAUAUCCACACAUUCGUAUUCUGCAUCUAUGAACUACAAAGCGUCAUUGGACAAGACUCUCACUCUCAUUACCACGAACAAUCCCUUGUCAAUUUGGCCAACUUGCUUUUACGAUUUCAUCAUGUUUUAAUUGCCCCAGUUUCACCUGGCGCGGGCUUCAAAUAAUCUUAAAAUGUCCACAUCUGUUCUUAAUUUCAAAAAUGAUUUCAUUGCUUCCUGACUAAACUGUCUUUUAAAUAUCAGACUGAGAAUUAUGCACACAUGUCAUGUAACUAGAACCAGCACCAAACAAAAGACAAAACAAAAUGAUAAUGAAGAACUAAAGAAGAUGACUGGAGGUAACAAAAGACCGGAAUUUGCAUUAGACAAACGGUGAAACAGUUUGCAUAACAAAACAAGAAAAACAAACUGAAGUACAACCCUAAAGCACACAUGGAAAACACUACACAUACCACUAUGACUAAACAAGCUAGAUAAAAAGAACGGAUAAGAGGGUUUGACCACAAGACAAUAUAUGGAUUACAACCCUGAAAAUAACCCAAAUAACAGAAAUGACAACAUAAUAAACCACCAAGACUUCUCUCCAGCUACCCAAGAGAUGAAUCAUCUUUCCAAUUUCCAAGCUCGACAUCUUAGCCAGUAAGUUUUGCAUCAAAAUUUCCAUGACCAUUACCAACUUCAAUAUCAUCAACUUCAGUCAACAAGUUUCUAAGAGGAUUCACGUGCUCCCUAUCACUAUCAUUAACCAGAAUUACCCUUUCUUGAAUCAUUCUUUUUAUUUCCCUUUUCAAAGAACGACGAUCUUCAAUGUUGUGCCCUUGGAAGUUAGAGUGGUACAUGCAUCGUACAGUAGUAUCAAAUCCUUUUGAAUAUGGGUUUGGAGUAUAGCCAAGAAGCAGCUCAAUCAGGCCAGAAUGCUUUAACUUUUUAAAUAAUCUUGCGUAGGACUCCCCAAUUGGCGUAAAACGACUUCUUUUCCUUUGUUCUCUUCCCUCCCCCUAUUUUCUUGGGUUGUUGGGCGCUCAAAAAUGUUUUGAAGGCAAGAAUACAUUAUAAGAUGCUGGCGCUCGCCAUAAGGAGUGACCUGGACAUAUGACCGGACAUUUUCAGAGGAUAAUACUGAGGUGGAUUAUGUGGAGCUCGGGGAUAGGUUUGGGGUUAGAGUUGAGGCUGGGUGUAUUAGUGAGGCAGAUCCUUUCGUCUAUGUCGUGUCUCUAAAAUAACCAUGGCAAUAUCAUCAUGUUCCUUCUAACCCAGUGAGCUUCCUGUGUUGCUCUGAAUUGCUUGUGUUGUGGCUUUUAAAGCAGAAUAACUCAUGAUCUUGCUAGACUUCAGCACAUCUUCUACCAUCUCUCCCAUUUUUAUCACAUCAUUGAAAGGCCUACAUACAGCCGAGAUCAAAUGCCCAAAGUAAGUGGGUUCUUGAGCUUGAAGAAAGUAGUUGAUCAUCUCUUUUUCUUUCAUCGGGGGAUCGACUCUGGCAGUUUGCUCUCUCCAUCCGAGGCCGUACUCCCUAAAGCUUUCAUUAGGCCUCUUCUCCUUCUUGGCGAGGGACCUGCGAUCCGGGACGAUUUCUAUAUUAUACUGAAAGUGCCUGGCAAAGGCGUGAGCCAUAUUGUCCCACGUGUACCGCCUGUUAGCAUCUUGGCGGGUGUACCACUCCAGAGCUGCCCCACUCAGACUCUGAAUGAAAAUACGCCAUCAAUAAUUUGUCUUUCCCAGUGGCGCCUCUCAUCCUAUUGCAGUAACCUCUUAAAUAAGCGGCGGGAUCUCCGCGCCCAUCAUAUAAAUCAAACUUUGGCAUCUUAGCAGGCAAUUGGACGUCAGGAAACAUACACAAGUCUUUGUAAGCCAUGCUCACCUGGCCCCUAUCCCUUGCAUGUUUCUUAAAGACUGCUCUAAGAUUUUCACCUUCCUGGAUAUCUCAUCCUGCUCCACCGUCUUGCCAUGAUUUUCAGUUUCACCAUGAGCCUCAAAAUGAGGAGCGUGAGAGUAUGGAUCCGAGACUUUGAAAGUUGGUUUUGGAGAAUAGUGUUGGGCAUCGGGGACUUUGAAUACAGUCUUAUUGGAGGAUCGAGGAAAAAUAGCUGGUGGAGGAGCUGCAAGAGCAUGGACGGCCAAAAGAGCGGUAUAUGAAGGGAUUUUGGCUGGUGGAGUAUGAAAAGAUUGUGGGGAGAUAUUAGCAGCAGUGGGGAACUGGAUCGGUGCUAGUGGUGGGAUAGUUGCAGGGUUUUCAGUGUAGUUAGUGGGGAAUGAAGAUGUAGGAUGCCCCUGAUCCAAGACUGAUACAUCUCUGUCAUAUGCUGCUUCACCCUUUGGAGAUCCUCUUUCAAUUCAGACUCCGACCCCUCAAACUCCUUUGACGGGUCAACAACUCUUGCGCCCAAGUUUUUGCUAGCCAUGGCUACCCUGCCCUUUGACCUUGUGUUGUAUGGACGAGUUACCUUAAGAACCACAAACCACCACUCUUCUUCUAUUAAUGUAACAAAAUGAAGCCGUCAUGUUAGCGUUAGGCCAUUUAACGGCUAAAAUAAUAUCACAUUUAAGGCAAUGUACCUAGCCACAAUUAUCGAUUAUAAAACGACUUCGAGGGUACGAAGGUCAGUUGGCAUCAUCCCGAUUUAUUCAUAUUAACCUCUCUUUUCUUUGCUUUUCUGGCUUUUGCUUUCUCGUUUACCUUCCUCUUUUUUCUAAUUAUCACUCUUUUCUUUCCAAUCAUUUCUCACAUCCCCUAACUUCAACUUUCUUUUUUCUUUUUCUCUUUUCGCUUUUUCCAUUUUUUAUUUUUGUUUUCUUAAAAAAAAAUAAUUCGAUCAAACCCUACGUAGGUUGCCUACGUAUAUGACCCCGCAUGAAUAAGAUCUUUACGUAAUUUUGCAAAAUUAUGAAUAAAAUAGACAAACCGACAUUCUCCUUUUUGCUUUUCUUUAUUAUUAUUUUUAUGACAAUUUGAUGAGAAAAGAGAAAUGAAGCAGCAAACCCUUUUUUGAAUUUUCUAGAAUAAAUGUUCUAUAACCUAUUCUAAACUCAAGCCUAACGAGCAUGCUUUUUUAUUCUUUUGAAACAAAUACUCUAUUAAGGAAAAUCCUAGAAGAGAAAAAUAUCUUUGAUUCCUACUUUUAGGAAGAAAAUCUAAAGAAUUAACCAUAGCAAAAUGUUUUGAAUUUUCAUUUGAUAUUCUAAUGCAAGAUUCCGAAACAAGCAACGAAAAAGAUAAAACAAAAUAUUUUUGGAUUUCAAUUUGAUUGCCUAAAGGAAGAUCAAACUUCAAACAAAAGAUAAAGUAUUUUUUCCUUCUAUGUAAAAUAUUCUAAAGUUCUAUUGAAAAUAAAAAGAAUCUUUUCAUUAGUUUCCCAAAGACGAACCUCAAAAGAAAAUCAUUUCGAAUUUUUGAAAUCGAUACCUUAAAGAAAACUUUUUUAACAAGGUACUAAUAAAUAAUUCUUCUUCUUCUUUUUUCUUUUUGGUCCUAAUAUACUAAAAAGAAACACACAAAAAAAAAUCAUUUAAUUGCCUAAAGGAGAAACAAUCUCAAUAACAUAUUUUUUUCAUUUCUACAAUUAGUAUUCUAAAUAAAACUUAUAACGAAAAUAUAAAAUGUAACAUCUCUUUUUUUUGAAUUUUUCAUUUAUGACACUUUUUUCGAAUGCAAAUUAGUAAGUACAAUGGGCCAAAAUGCAACAAAUGUUAUUGCUUCCUAUAUGCUUCAAAAGAUUGAGUUACUUCACAAAGUACCCUCACACACCAUUAAGAUACAUGAAUUUCCCGUGAUAUUAAUGUUUUGGAGACGAGUCAACAAGUUUUUGUCCUUGUGAACAAAUGCCCAUCUCGUUUGUACCAAUACUAGUUCAGGGUUAUCCUUGAAAUGUGGGACUGUCAGCUUAAGAAAAUCUGGAGUUGGUUGGAAAUCCUUGCAGCAAAUUCAUAAUCCUUCAGAUAGUCACAAGUUUCAAUACCAAAUUCCUCCUUCAAGUUCGUCAUGAGUAGCUUGAAGGGUAACGAUAGACGCCAGCAGAGAUCAUGAUCUGCGGACAGUCCCUGGUCCUCACUCCUCUCUUCUUUAACAUCCCAGGGUGAUUCAGCAGCUAGAUCUUGUUGAGUUUCAUAAUUCUUACCAUUUCUUCCAUCUAGACAAGUCUGAAACUCCUCACUGACUGGCAGUUCUCUGGCAACAGCUUCAUCAUUGAAUUGUCCAUUAUUCACUGACAUUCCAUCUUUAAUACCAUUAAUUGUCACAUGAUUAUUACUCUGCACACAGAAAAUUGGAGCUUUGCGAGUCAGAGUCCAUGCUAGAAAGAGAGGUUUCCUUCUCGAUUUUGACCAUUUCUCCUCUAAGUUUUUACUAGUUCCAGCUCGACCCUUUCCUUGAUGAGACUUCUGAGCUAAAGAACUCACAUUCUUCCCACUCAGACUCAUCUGGCCAUUCUUAUCAGGCACAUAACCAUAAACCACAGGUGAUUCCUACCUUACUUUUGGAGCACUGGCUGCAGUUGAAGACCUACUACUCCGAUCCUCACUGUUCUCUGAGUCCGUAGCACAAAAAAUUAGAGGCCGAUCAGCCAAGCCAGGAUUACCAAUUACACCAAAGUCAUCAACUAGAACACCAGGGAUCCUCAAUAGUGCAUUGGUUGAAGAAACGGAUCCAUCACUAUUUUGGAUUGCUCCAGCAGACAAAUGCACAGUCUUUGAAGAAUUUGCAGCGGCGUUCGACAAGCCAUACUUCAACAACUUACGACUAUCUGUGUUACUAUCCCCAUCCUUUGGCUUUGGGAGAGGCAAUCAAUAACAGCUCAGAAACACAUCCAAAUUUCAAUAACAAAAAGUCCUACGCAUCACAGUUAGUAGGAAAAAAAUCUGCCGCAAAUCUGUCGAUUUUGGAGCUAUGUCCUGUGACGUGUGAACAUGGGAAACAACCUGUACAAUUCUCAAUUGAAGAAGUAACAUUCACUAUAGAAGAAGGGCUUCAUCAAGUUGUAAUCCUCAAGUUUUCAUAUGGAAAACCAGACCUAUUGUUUCAUUGAUUGUUCAAGCAGAUGAUGGUUUGGAAUUUGACGAGGGAGUAAAUCGAUCACCAAACAAGCACUCUCUUGAUGUGGAUCGAGCAAGACAAGUGCUCGACUUCUCAAGCAAAUCCAGAACUGGGCAAAUUUCAUCUCCAUCUAUGAAGACUGAUUAACAACAGUUAGGUACACCAGGAGGUAUCACCCUAAAACCAACAAUUACCAAGAAUAAUGCAACAAAUGUGUCAGUGGGGCAUGACAAAUCAGAAAUGAAAGCUGCUACUGUAUGCUCGAAUAAGGCGGACACUGUUGGAAGUGUUGUUCGAGCUAAUGCUAUGACAUCUAAAUCAAGUGUUGCACUAGUUGAUUUAAUUGAAAAACAAACAGGAGAGGAGCAUCAAAGAGGUCAGAGUACUGGGCAACAACCAGCUGAACAAAGGCAGACAGAUCCUCACCUGAAAAAUGCAGCGCAAACUGCGGACAAACGAGAUUCUGCCCAGAUUUCUGUGUAUGAAACCAUUGGGACUACGACCGUUUUGAUGGUAAAACAAAAAGGGAAUAUGAAGGUCAAGGAUGCCCAGGUAGCUAUGAUGGUGAACUCAACUCCAUAAAUAGGCAACCACAGCCUUCAUGCAGUAGCAAACAACAGCAGCAUCCCAAGAAUGCAGGUGGUCGACCGAUAGCUUCGAAGGAGAUUGUUCCUUUUGAUGCACAAAAAGCAGAAGCACACAGCUCUAAUACUCCUACUCAACAAUUUUCCAACCCUCAAGUAGAACAAAUCAUUAAGGAUGAUGAUGAAGGAUAUUAUUUUCAAACAACCGUUGGUUACGCUGAACAAAUCCGUUUGUGAUGUCCCCUCGCAAUCAAUGGAGUCCUGGGGUGAGUUUAAAGGGGAAUCUGGCCAACUCAUGAUAUCAACGUGAAAUAACAACGAGUCAAUACAACCAAAUGUGAAGGACAUGGUUGUGACCAUUUUUCUAAAAUUAACCUAUAUUGCUAAAAAUGCAAGAUUUGGCUAAGAUCCCGCGAAGUCAAGAACCUAAGAUUUACUAGGAAGACCGGACCCUAUGUGGGCUGCCUACGUAUCCCGUCCCGAGAGACGAGAAUCAGGUUCGCAUAGUUCGGGCCGAAUGGCUACGGGCGAGAAUUAAAAGAAAAACAAACGACUAAUCUAGAGAAAAUAUUUUUUUUAGUUUUUCCUUGAAGAAAAUGAUGAAACAUGCAAAAUCUUUUUGGAUUUCCUUUUUCCUUUUUUUAUUUGAUUUUCGAAAGAAUGAUAAAAAGUGUAAAAUCUUUGAAUCUUUUACGCUUUUUCUUAAUAAUAAUAAAAAGUAACAAAAACAUAACCAAGCCCUUAUUGCUUUAUUUCACACUUCACCCUCUUUUUCUUUUUCCUUCUUUUUUUUCUCUUUUCAUUUUCAUUUGCCUUCAACUAUCAUUGGUCUGCCAAAUGACCCUUUUAUCCUGAAUAAAUGCAAUAUGUAGCACAUAGGAUGCAUCAAGAUGGUCUGUUCAUUUCAGGUUGCUUGUCCUAGACGGACCCAACCCCUGUGUUGAGUCCCCUAAGUCAAAUGUCACGUGAUGCAAAUAAGCGUUCCUACCAGGGAUCCUGCAUGAAGUCAAGUUAUUCUAUGUUCACAACCUGGGUCAUUGUUCUAGACUGAUGCACAUGAUGCAAAUAAGCGUUCCUACUAGGGAUCCAGCAUGAGGCUACGUUAUUCUAGGUUCAAAACCUGGGUUUUUGUUCUAGACCUGGCUUACCCAAGUGGAUAGCUCGAGCCCAGGGGGAGCCAGCAUACCGGGAAUACAGAAGCUUCGCUGGUUUUGCAACUUAUCCAAACCUCGUUCUAAAUUGGCAAUUAUAAACUAUACAGAAAAGAAGUCGCACGAAGUGCACCCUUUUUCAUGAUUUAGAAGACUCAAAGAGAAGACGGGUUUCGGCACAAUUUAUAUACAGUUCACGUAAUAUCAAAUAGGUAAAAGCAGUCAACUAGCACAUUAAGCACUUAUCAUGUAAUAAAAUCAGAUAAAGCAAAACGCAACAAUUAUUCGAAGCUCGAAUUCUAAACCCUGAACAAAACGUUCUACGUUCUUGUUCCCAGCAGAGUCGCCCCUGUAUUCUUCAAUCCAAACGGCAUCAUCCUGUAGCAAUACAUUCCCCCAAGGCGUGAUGAACGCCAUUUUCUCUGCAUCUCCUUCAUCCAUCCAUAUCUGAUGAUACUCUGCGAAACAAUCGACAAAUGACUGCAAUUCAUGCUUGGCGCAGUUGUCGAUUAGAAUGUGUAUGUUUGGUAAGGGAAAAUCGCCUUUGGGGCUGGCCCGGUUGAGAUCCCGGUAAUCGACAUAGACUCUAACUUUCCCAUCCUUCUUAGGUACUGGAAAAAUGUUAGCUAACCAAGUUGGAUAUUCUACCACUUUAAGAACUUUGGCUUUGACCUGCUUGGUAACCUCCUCUUUGAUCUUUAGACUCAUAUCUGGCUUGAAUUUUCUAAGCUUCUGUUUUACCGGGGGACAUGCAGGAUCUUUAGGUAGUUUGUGAGCGACGAUGGACGUGCUGAGACCGGUCAUAUCGUCAUAAUACCAUGCAAUGAUAUCCUCAUAUUCCUUCAAGAACUCUACAUAUUUCUCUUUCUCUGUCCGUGACAAGUGCACACUGAUGCGCGUUUCUUUGACAUUCUCUGUAUCUCAUAAAUUGACGACUUCGAUUUCAUCCAAGUUGGACUUGGGCCUAUUCUCAAAGUUUUCGACCUUUCUGACAACCUCUUCUAGUAUAUCAUCUUCUUCUUAGAGUAUGUCCAUUUGUUGUAUAGCCUCGUUGCAAGUUACAGUUGUUGGUUCAUCAUCAAGAUACGUAAUAGCAAUGUUGUGUGAAAAAUAAAGUAAAUAGUAGAGAAAAGUAAUGAAUAGCGAGACAUUUGAGAAAAAUGAAAAUGCUUUUGAUUGAAUUAAUAAAUGUUCAAAACAUCGGGUCGCUAUUGGAAUGUAAAGACAAAUGCGGAAAGUAAAGGAAACAACUAGAAAUAAAAUGCAUGAUGCUCGUUCAGCUUGGUACCCCGAAGGUUUCCGGGCGAUGAUGGUCCUAAUUGACCAGUUGGUGAGGCGAUCUCCUUGGUUCACAGCCUGAAUGGAAGGGCCUUCCUCCCCUACCUCUUCAAAGAUCGCACAACAGUCCAUGUCAUCCUCCAGAAACAGGUUUUUCAUUGCUGCAAGAGCCUCAUCUUCCUCUGAACCAUGGAGAGUGUCGGCUAGCUAAAAUGUCUGCUCCAACUGAGGUAUGGGGUGUUCGAAUGGAUAAUAUGGGCCGCGCCAUGGUGGUGACCAGUUUCUAAAUUCUUUCCAAGUAUACUCGUAACCCAGUCCGAAGGUAGGACCAUGUUUCUUCAACUGGAUGGGUUUGGUAAUACCUUGAAGAUUAUUACCAAGUCUUUUCCCCGGUUCAUACCCACUCCAAUUAACAAUGCUCUCAACCUUGCGACUCCACCAUUUUUCUUAUCCACUGCAUUGACCCGCUCGAUAUGAUGAUAUGUCUCCCCGCCUAUUCUUCUUCUGCCUCCGAUCAUUNNNNNNNNNNNNNNNNNNNNNNNNNNNNNNNNNNNNNNNNNNNNNNNNNNNNNNNNNNNNNNNNNNNNNNNNNNNNNNNNNNNNNNNNNNNNNNNNNNNNNNNNNCUGGGGAAUGGUCUGGCGACUGUAUAUGGGGUUGCUACCGUCGCCAUGGAUGAUUACUUUCUGAUGGUUCCAAACUCAAUGUCAAACCAAGUGGGGCCCAUUUGCAAACACAUGCUAAUUUCCCCGAGAAUGGACCUCUGAGAACCGUCAAAAGCCUUAACAUUAAUAGCCCCAUCUUUUACCUCGUGUAACCCUUUGCCCAACUUCUUGAGGGUGAUCAGUGGAAAAAUAUUGAGACUAGAACCUCCAUCAACUAGGAUUCUGGUGAUGAAAUGGUCCUCACAUUGCACGGUGAUGUGCAGUGUUUGUUAUGACUGAGCCUUUCAGGCGGCAAUUCAUCUUCAUGAAAGGUGAUCUUUUGACUUUAUAUCUGCCCUACCAAGUUUGCCAUCUCUCCUCCCGUUAUGUUGCUCGGGACAUAAGCCUCACUCAAUAUCUUCAUCAAGGCAUUUUUAUGCGCCUCGGAACUCUGCAGCAAUGCUAAGAUGUACAUCUGUGCCGGAGUUUUGUUUAGCUGUUCAGCAACUGAGUAUUCCUUAGCCUGUAUCUUUCUCUAGAGAUCAUCAGGUCCGGUUUCCGUAGGGCAUCCAGAGGCCUGUUUGCUGGACUCAGCUAGGUGCUCUGGUGUGUACACCCUGCCUAUGCUAGUCAUACCUUGUGCGGCAAUUACUUCACCCGCGCGUGCUUUUCCUUUCCUUCUUGCCUCGGAUGUGUAGUCCCAAGGCAUGGCUUUGGACUGAAAUGGGAUUACGUCUAACAUGGCGACCGAAAUGGGUACCUUUGGAGGCAACAUAGUAACUUCAAUCGGUACGGGCACUUUUGGAGUCCCUGAACUCCACCUCAUUUGGUUUUUGUACCUUUGCAGGAGGUGUCUCGAAUUCCAAUGGCACAGCUAUAUUCACUAUGCUGUCCUCAGAUGGCUGGACUUGUACAACAAUAGUAUUAAGGGUGACCGCCGGUUUCUUGGGCUCAUCCCCUUCAGAUAUCAAACCAAUCGCCCCUUCGGGGUCCCAAUCGUCUUCUUCCUCAAUCAUGUGGAUGCUCCCACCUUUAUGGUCUGGCAGGGGGUUGUUGCAAACAUUUGGGGCAGGCUCCUUAGCUACGAUGACGUUGUUGUCGAUUAAGGUCUGGAUUAUGUCCUUUAACGAGCAGCACUCGACGAUGGUAUGGCCCUUCAUCCCCGAAUAGUAUGCCCAUGUUUUAUUUGGGUUAAUCCAUUGGGACGGGUACUCUGGGGUUAUGGCUGUGAUGGGUGUAACAUAUCUGGCGGCUUUGAGCUUCUCAUAGAGUUGGUCAAUGGGUUCGGCAAUAGCAGUGUAUUGUCUGGGUUGUUUGCGAUCAAAAUUUGGUCUUGGUCGUGGGAAGUUUUGACGGGUAGGUUGUGAUGGAUAGUAAGGAGGUUGGGGUGUGUAGGCUUGGUAUACGGGUGCGGGUUGGGAAUAUCCUGGCGAGAUGGGUUGGUAUGUUGGUGGUGGAGAUGACUGGUAGAUGGGCGGUGGAUUUUGGUAAGUAGGCAAAGGUGCUUGGUAAUUUAGGGAGAGUUGGUAAGUGAGUGGAGUUGGAGGGUAGUGUUGGUAUUUCAUGGGAGAAUGGUUUCUUUGCGCAACUAUUACGGAGUUUACAUCCUUUUUCUUCGAUGAACCACCGGAUUGCAAGGCUUUGUUGGUGGCAUGCAGUGCCUUAAGAUUGGUAACCAUACCAUUUUUAAUUCCCUCUUCAAUCCUUUCUCCCAGUUUGAUGAUAUCAGCGAACUUAUGCCCUUCUAUCAGCAUCAAUCUCUCGUAAUACUGUGGGUCCUGGGCACGAACAAAGAAUCUAUUCAUUUGUUCUUCUUCCAAAGCCGUCCUGACUUUGGCAGCUUCCGACCUCCAACGAGUAGAAUACUCGCGAAAGGUUUCAGUAGGCUUCUACUUCAAAUUCUGAAUAUAGAACACGUCUGGCGCAUUCUCAGUGUUAAACUUGAAACGGUCCAUGAAAUCGGACGCCAUGUUUACCCAACUUGUCCACUUUUUCGCGUCUUGGCUGAUGUACCAAGAUAAAGCAUCCCCUUUCAAACUUCUCAUGAAUAGCUUAAUGCAGAUCUUCUCAUCCUUACCAACCCCCACUAAUUUGUCACAAUACAUUCUGAGGUGAACCCUGGGAACACCCGUACCAUCAAACAUCUCAAACUUAGGAGGUUUGUACCCCUCUGGGAGUUCGACAUCAGGUUGAACACAAAGGUCUUCAUAUUUCAUACUUUCUACACCCUUAUUACCUUCUACACCUUGGUCCCUGUUAGUGAGUUUCAUGAGUUCCGCCGCCAAGUUCUGAAUGAGUGAAUGAUUCUGAUAUAUCUGGUAUGGGCUGUGUAUAGUAUGGCACGGUAUCCACAAAGAUAGGGGUAUCCUGGUGGUUUGGAGCAUGUUCAGGGAGGAGCGGUGGAACAUUGUUGCGGACUUGGGUUGGGGUGUUCUGCGGAGGUGCAAGGACCUGAUUGUUGACAUGUGCAACAGUAAGGGAGAUGGAUAGACUUGCCAAGCUCCGGACUUGGUCCAGUUCCUCUCGAAACCUUAGCAAAGUUCGCUCUUAUUGAGAAGCAGUUUCCUUGGUGAUUGGGGUACCCUGAGAAGUUCCUUCAAUUUCCUCUCUUGCUUCAUUAUCUGCCAUCUUUCCUUUGUUCCUGUUUCUGGGAGGACUCAGAGGAGGAGGAGGAGGACCCUUAGAUCUUGUUGAAUAUGUUGAUGGUGCCAUAAUGCAGGAACUAACCUUUGGGGAGUGGGAUAAAACAAAAGAAAAACAAAAAGGUAAAAAGUUAGUGCGGAUUCUGAGAAAAAGAACACUGCGAUAUGUAAACACGUUGCUGCAAGAAAUAAACCGUUUCCCAAGGUAGGCCUAGAGACAAAUAAUUAUUUGGAGAACUUAUAAUACCAAAUGCCUCAUUUUAUUGAUAGAAAAUAGAACGAGUCUAAACAAACUUAAACAAAGCAAUAUUGUCACUAAUGGCCAAGGGCUUUAUUACAUUGAUAAAGUAGUAAAAUCCUAACUACUUGGUCCCAGAAAGACCUUCCCUAGAUUCGGUAUCUUUGCGUUCCUCAUACAGCUUCAUUAGCUCGCGCAGUCCUAGCAACAAAUAAGCCUGAACCAAGCACCCACCUUCAUUACCUUCAGCUUCCUUACAGUCUUUGAUCCUUUUCAGAAACUUGCCUUCCAGCUCCACUAUACCCUGUUUCAAGUACCCUAAACGGUUGCUUGCAAGGAUAGCCAUGUCUUUACAUUCAUUGAUUACCUUCUCUUGAGCCUCUAGUACUUCCCGAUGUUCACUCUCGCACUCUCGUAUCCAUUUGUGUAGUUGAUUGUACUUGACCUUUGCUGCAGCCUACUCAUCAAUAACUCUAUGACCAUGGGAAAAACCUAUUUUUCCCAAGCCAAUAUUAUCAUCUUCUAACCAUCCCGAAUAAAGUGGCGCAUGACCCGCCUGAUACCUGUCUGGUUCCAUAGAUUCCUUUUCUAGAAUGAUUUUGGGGUGCCACAUAUGCUGAGCUCGGCACAUGUGUGGGCUAUCAUCAUCUUGGAAAUCAGCUCUGUAAUGACUCAUCUUUUUCACUCUUGGUAUAAUCUGCUUCCUUCCGGCUUGCCUCUCAGAGAGGGACAUAGGGGUAAGUUCCUAUCAAGCCGAUGAGUACAAGGAAUGGCGCAUCCGUAGACAUAAUGAUAAACUCUCCAGUGGAAAACAACUCGUACAUCCAUUGUACCUGCUCUCUUCUCAGAUUUCUUAAUAGUUCCACCCAUCCACUGACGUCUUCCGGUUGAGCAAACAUAUGCGGCGUGAAGUGCAUCCGCUUUGGAUGAUGGAAAGCGAUGUGAUCAUCCCAAUCCCGGCGUAUGAUCUCCUGCCUAUAUUUUCCCUUUUGAAGAUGUUUAAUGAGCUAGAGUUGUAGUAGUAGAUUGCACCCUUCAAAGUGUGGUGCCCCUUGCUGACAUUUCUCUAAGGCUCUGUACAGUUCCGCGAGGAUCAUGGGUGCUAUGUUGAACAUCUUCCCGUCGAUACCCUCCAUUACAGCUUUGGUUACCAUGGCUAGUCUUGUAUAGAUCCUAGCCUUCUUCAUCGGGAAAAUUAUCAUUCCCAAAAAAGAGAACAUGAACACAAAAACCCUCCUAUGUAUGUGCCCCAAAGAGGUGAGGGCGAACUCGUCCAUGUGAUUGCAGUAUGAUUCGCUAUGUCCGAACCUUUCAUACAUGAAGUCGAAGGAUAUGUAGGAGUUCUUCAAGCUGGUCAGAUUUGGAUUCUUUUUUAGCCCCAUCAGCUUCAAGAACCCUCGACCUUUGCGGUUUUCUACCAUGAGCAACCCCGGGCUAUCCCAAGGAAUUCCAGCUAAACCCCCAAUUUCCUCCAACAGCAAUGUCAUUUCAAUAUCCCCAGAGUGGAAGACAGAGGCUAUCCCAAGGAAUUCCGGCUAAACCCCCAAUUUCCUCCAACAUCGGCACCAUUUCAAUAUCCCCAAAGCGGAAGACAGACCGUUCACUAUCCCAAAACAUAGUAGUAGCUUCCACGAUCUUGUUAUCUGGCGUAACUUCUAGGAGUGAAGGAAGAUUUCCUAAGUGUUUGCGGAUGACAACCCGAUCACUACCAUGCAAAUCGUCCCACCAACUUAGCAACUUUGGAUGAAUGUUUGAUACCAUACCGAACCUGGGGACCUCCUGCCUCAUUUCCUGCAAAACGGAGAGUUAGGCCCUCAACCCCGCGGGACUCGACUAUUUAAUUCAAAAAUUAACAAAAGUUAUUUAGUUCUCCGAACCAAUGCACACAACGUGAAUGUCUGAAACGUAGGGACCUCGUGCCUCAUUUCCUGCAAAAUAGAGGGUUAGGCCCUUACCCCACUGGACUCGACUAUUUAGAUUAAUAAUUAGUAAAAGGUAUUUAAUUCUCCAAAUCAAUGCACACAACGUGAAUGUCCGUUUGGGUUUCGAGGAAACCCGAUGGACUUUACAAAAUAGAGUGUUAGGACCUUAACCCCAUCGAACUCAACUAUUUAAUCAAUAAUUAGCAAAAGGUAUUUAGUUCUCCAAAUCAAUGCACAUAACGUGAAUGUUUGUUUGGGUUUCGAGGAAACCCGAUGGUCUUUUAGUUUAGGCUAUCCUAAUUAGUCAUUAUGUGGACAACAUAACUUACUCGGCUAAGUUUGACCAUGAUGCAUGAACAAUUAAAUGGAGUAAGGUUUCUGCUUUGAAGUCCUAGACAAGGUACCCAUGAGCUGACAACUCAAGAGGGAAAGAUGCGGAACCGUCGACUACACCAUUGAUCGACUGGUUUUACCGCAAAUAUGCCUUUGCCGAAUUUAGGGGAUUUGUAUUGGAAGGGAGAAACCACUCAUUAUAAGCGUUGCUAUAGGAUUUGUUUGGCACGAGUGGUAAAUGAUGUUGGAGGAUGCAAUUACAACAAGGAAAUAAGUACAUGUAUUUUCACGUCAUACAAUAAUGACAAUGAAUGCUUGAAAAUAAAGACAUAAUUGAAAUGAGGUAAGUACAAUAAAGCCGUUAAAAUAUUCAAAGAAAAAGAAAGACAUGAAGAAACAAGUAAGUAAUUGUGAAAAUGAUAAAAGAAAAGUAAUUGAAGUAAUAAAUAAAGAAAGCGGUAAAGUCACAAAACGCGUAGUGGUAAAGGCCUGAAAGAAUUCCCCAGAAGAGUCGCCAUGCUGUCGACGCCCCUUUUUUCAAAGGCAAAAUCGGGUUUUAGGACAUUAUGGGCAAAGCAACUCUAUUUCCCGUUUGGGAAUUGGGUUACGAAAUUGGAAGAGUCGUCACCUAAUGAUUAUAGUGCAUUAGGACACCUUAAGAUGAAGAGAGUGUUUUGAGAGAGAAACCCGAGUUGGGUAAGGGCUUGAAAUUAUCUCGAGGAGAAGGUGUUAGGCACCCCUCGAGAUCCACAAAUGUGGUUCCCGGCCGUGCUAAUUGUGACUUUAAAAAGAAUAAGAAGCAAGUAGACAAAUGAAGUGCACAUAUUUACAUAAUUUUUAAGCUUUAAAGAAAAGGACAUAAGUUUGAAAUAAGAGAGAGGAUUAAUUUGAAAAGCAUCAGGAAAGCAUUUAAAUAAAGAACGUAAGAGGAAGAGGGGUCAUAGUUUGACUAUAAUAUGGAUCAUUCGAUGCAAUAUCUAGCUCAUAUCUAGCUCAUAUCCCAAAGAGGGGUCGCUUCAUGAUAUUAUUGCCUCGUCAUCAUCUCCAUAUUCUACCCUUCCGGCCCCGUUAAGGUAUUAAAGCGCGGUGGAAUCGUUUACUUAUUGCAUGCUAAUACUCGUCCCAACCUGUUAGUCCCGGGGUAUUAGGACUUCUAAUCCUAAGAAAUGGGGAGAAGGAAGUAGGAUACAUAUAUGGAGUAUUCAAAGGUAAAAUACUAGCGCGACAGUCAAAAACAAGUAGCAAUAAGAGUGAUGCAAAUAAACGAUACACAUAUAGAGUAUUCAAAGGUAAAAUACUAGAGCGACAGUUAAAAGAAAACAAGUAGCAAAUAAAAGGGAAGCACAUAAACAAUUAAGGCUCAAGUAAACCCCAUGACAAUUAACAAGUAGUUUAGCAUGACUUCAAUUACUGAUUUGGUCUUUUAAAAAAGAUUAGGAGAGCGGGCAGAUUAGUUUAACGCAUAAGAGUUGGGAUAGAAAAUCUGCUUCGAGCUCCCUGGGCCCGUUUUAGAAGUUGACAGGCUUUAUUAAAUCAGUAAGACUUUAGAGGAAAAGAUGACAAUUGCAGACAGGAGUCGACUUAAAAUACUUGGAGUUGUUUACAAGUGUUACAAAAGGAAAACACGAGUUUCAGCUGGGAGAUUUUAAAAACUGCGGAUGAGUUUGAGAAAAAGGUAUGCAAAUCAAUUGUAAAAGUUCAAUAACUGACUGUAGGAAGUUUUGAAAUACUUUGGAACACAACAAAUAGUUACAGAUUCAGUAUAGAAGACAACCUAUAGACUCAGAGUUUUACGAAAGGGGGGAAAGGGGGGAAGCAGACCUGGCCUGGUUUGAUGGUAAAUAGAUUUAGGAUGAGUUGAAAACUGGGUUGUUCGAAAACAUUAACGGUCUAAACUUGAUCUUUUAACCCUUGAGUUGCUGUUUUUUGACCAUUAGACGUCCUGCUAUUUGCCUAGCGUUUAUAUAUCUCCUAUAGGCGUUCUUUCUAGGUGAGAUUAUAAGAUGCAAACCUAAGAGCAUGGUUUCUAUAUGGGUUGAUUCAAUAUGGAACACCUUACAGACAGGGCAUCUAUAUGAUAUGCAACAGUGUGGGAAAUAGGUAUGGUAACAGUACAUAUAGGUAAAGUAAAGGUCCUAUAGUCAUGGUUUCUACUGAUGCAGAGAUGAAUAAUCCUAGAGUCAUGAUUUCUAUAUGAUUAUUGGUGCAAUAAAAGUAGACUCCUAUAGGCAGGUUAUCUACAUGGAUGCAACACUGAUAAAAUAUAGACAUAUCAUCUUGAAUUGAGACUGAUGCAAACGUAUGGACAUGGUAACUACCAGCCCUAAAGCAUCCAAGUUUAGAGGAGACUCCAAGGUCCCUAAGCAUGGCUUGCCCAAGGGGGGUAGGAACUUAAAGGGGCUAAGAAUAUGUGCAAAGUGGGGAUAAAAGGGAAACCAGUGUAUGAAGUGGUCAUACCCAGCCUAUUGAAUGAGAAUGGCACACGCAAGACUCCUUACAAAUUUUACAAGCAGGAGCAGACUUGUAAACAAGUCAGACAAGGGCAUGAGAGGUGAUUAAGACACCAACAAGACUUUGUCCAAGCUCAAACACAUAAGAAAGGGGAUGGGAUUGCUUUGAGUCAAGGCUAUUGACAGCCUUGGUUCCAAACUAGAGAUGGUAAUAAGGUGCCACCCUUGUCCAGAACAAACUCUUAUACAAAUAAAGAGCAAGGGAAUCAUAUAAACACUUACCAGACAAAAUUAAAUUAAAGCAUAAUAGUGCACAAUCAAAGGAGAGUAUUUAGUAGGAUGGAUUUAAUAACACAUUGAAUGGAAGAACCCUAAGGAAAGGGGAAUAAGGUAUUAACAUGCUGAGUUUUAAGAUAAACAGGUGAGGGGUAAUAGGGAAAGGGUUUAACAUAACUAAAUCUACAGCAUGAACAAGGGAGUAAGGGGGUAGGGACUUAAAUUUACAUGAAAUACUGAACUUAUCACACAAGGGGAAUAAAGGGAAGGGAAUUAGGCAUGAUAGACCUUAAGUAAAGUAUUGAAAGAAACAAGCAAAGGGAAAGGGGAAGGGAUGUACAUGCAGAAAAUAAGCUAUAAGUAUGUCAGGCAAAGACAGGGUGAAAGUAAACAAGUAGUUGAAGGAUUAGUAAUUGAGAAUAGAACCUACCAGUUGCACUUGAGUGACAAAAGUAAAAAGAAGUUCUAUAACUAGCCUUGAUUUGCAGCCAGCUAGACUUUGACAAAGAGAGCAAGUAGCAAAUAGAGAGUUUUUGUGAGCAAGAGUAGAGAGGACUCGAGAAUCAGUGUAUGUGUUUAUGUAUUGAAUUGAAGUUGUUCAUGAAAUAAAGGGUGGUGGUAUUUAUAGUUUGAAAACAAACAAGAAAAUAAGGCAAGAAAAAUUCAGUACCAAUUAGAAUCAAUCAGAAGAAGGGAACUCCUUUAAUUAAGGAGUUCAAAUUUGAAUAGGAGAGGAAAAAGUUGUAUUAAAGGAAAGAAAAUCAAUGACACAUGGUGCAAUCAAGGGUAAAUACAUGAGAGAAGCUUUUAAUACUACACGAUUAAUCAUGGUGCAAUCAAUGGUAAAUACAUGAGAGAAACUUUUAACACUGCAAGGUUUGGUAAAUAAGGUAAAGGCUAAAUCAAUUAUCACCUAGUAAAUCAGGGAUUCAAAGAUUCGUACUUAAUAAUGAACUAAGUCAAGAAUAGGUCCAGAUCAAAUGAAGGAAGAAUCAAAAAAGGUUACACAGUAAAUCAGUCCCCUAGAAUUAAGGUUAUCUUGAAAGGAAUGGCCUGACUAUAAAGAGAUGCACAUAUUUAAGCAUGCGAGGCUAAAUAAACAUAGUAGAAAAGCACAGUCACAAAAUCCAUAGGUCUUUUUAAGCUUCACAAGAAUCAAAGAGUUUAGAGAAUUAGGGUUCCAAAAUCAAAUAGGCAGCAAACAAUUGCACACGAAUAAUGUGAAACCCCCAAAAUUUAGGGUUUUUCCCACAAGUCGAGUCUAAAAGGCAAAUGCAUAGCGAAUCAGUCAAAGAGUAAACUCAAAAAGCCUAAAGAACACAAACAUUUGUGAAAGCUUGAUGAAAGAAGAACAGUGAAGAAACUACUCAAAAACCCUAGAAAAUAUAGUGAGCAGGAUACAUAGAAAACACAGAUAAACACUUAGGAAUUACAGCGAAAUAAAAUAAUGGAAGUAAUCACAAUGGAACAAGUAGAAAUCAUAGAAACCCUAAGUCUUGAGAAGAUGAACAAGUUCUUUUGAAAACACGACUAGGUGGAGAAGAGGAUGAGAGGUACUUAAAAAACCAUAGAAAACACACAAAAUCAAAGAAAAUCAUAAAAUAAUAAAGAGAAGCAGGAGAAAGAACCUCUAAUCGAUUAGCGUUUUCACAGGAACUUUCAAAAAUGGCGAGAAAAGCCUGAACGGCUCAUCGGAGCUUGGCAAAGAUCCAAGGCUUCAAAGACUUGCCGGAGAACAACCGUAAAACUCCAUUGAAGGGACCUCUGGUCCAGUUAACCUUGAAUCAAACCCUGCUCUUCGAACCAUAAGGUCAGGAACGGUGAUAAAUGAACGAGUAUGCGAAUUUUCCGCCAUAGAAGCCGGCGAAGAAGCCUGAAAGUGACUAGGGUUUAGAGAGAGUUUAGAGAGCAUUUUGGGAGUGAAAGACGGCAUCCAAAUGAAAGUAAUUCUGAUUUUCCACCAGCCAAUUUCCCACCAGGCGUCUCUCCUGGAAAAUUCGUGGAAUUAUUGAUAUUUCCCAUGAAUUUCCUACCGAUUCUUCCGUGGGAAAUGGUUGUAUUUCUAGUAGUGGCCAAUCCGCCGCCAGACCUUGAAAAGAAACCUCAACGUACUGUUAACAACCUCGGUGAUCAUUUAAACCAGCUUCGAACCUCAGCUCACAGCCAUUUUUCAAACCAAAUCCGAAAUCAAAGAUGAUAA
This 34952-nucleotide long non-coding RNA is filed under the name Nicotiana benthamiana. Its description in RNAcentral is "long non-coding RNA (NBEN_LNC034724)". Lineage: Eukaryota; Viridiplantae; Streptophyta; Magnoliopsida; Solanales; Solanaceae. The record is from RNAcentral.